This is a non-coding RNA of Elaeis guineensis (African oil palm), 661 nucleotides long. The record is from RefSeq and is a predicted model, not a curated record. Lineage: Eukaryota; Viridiplantae; Streptophyta; Magnoliopsida; Arecales; Arecaceae.
AUGGCAAAUGCGUCGUUAAUACGCUUUCUACCAUCGCUAAUGAGCAUCCGUAACCACACAAAAAAAGAUCGGUAUGACAGUCAGAUAGCAGUUUGCCCGUCUCACAUUCAAAAUACAGGGCAUGAUCUCCAUCCGCAUGAUUCGUACAUACUUUCAAGUAACAGCUAUCACCCUCUACAGGAAAGGCAGCUUUUUCUCCUCUAUCAUAGAGGGGAGCAAGGGACCCCAUUGAUUCGAACUACACCCGUCGAGAUGGAAGGAUCCAGAGUGUUUUGCUUGAUGCUGUGCUUCGUGAUGUUUGAUGCUGUGUUGGACCGAUAUCAAGGGUGUCCGUGGACUCCAAGGUUACCUUUAGCGUUGGUCAAAUACGAUUGGAACUACACCCGUCGAGAUGAAAGGAUCCAGAGUGUUUUGCUUGAUCCUGUGCUUCGUGAUGUUUGAUACUGUCUUGGUAACAUUGCUGCUAGCAAAUAUGGUUUGUUUUGUUGCAGCUAGCGAUUUUAAAGGGAGAUUUUGGUCCUCGUAUUGCCACCUUUGAAGCCAGCGUUAUGUAACCUCCUUAGAUCUGCCUCAAAUCCUUUUAUCUGGUUAUUUAAUAUCUUUGUUCCUUUGAUUUUCUCUAAAUCAGCUGGGGGUUUUGUUUGACUACGCCCAAUUAUUU